RNAcentral lists this non-coding RNA (271 nucleotides) under Furfurilactobacillus rossiae. RNAcentral's name for it is "Lactobacillus rossiae T-box sequence". It matches the Rfam family "T-box leader". Rfam says of the family: Uncharged tRNA acts as the effector for transcription antitermination of genes in the T-box leader family. T-boxes are found upstream of many aminoacyl-tRNA synthetase genes and some amino acid biosynthetic genes usually in Gram-positive bacteria. The record is from RNAcentral. Lineage: Bacteria; Bacillati; Bacillota; Bacilli; Lactobacillales; Lactobacillaceae.
AAAAACAAUUUGAACAGGAAAGUAGUUCUAACAAGACUGUACAGAAAACCUGCGUUUGCUGAGAGCAGGUAGUUAAAUUGGGAUGAAAAUGGCCUGCGAUUGGUAUCGUCGAACCGGCAGCUACUGUCAGUAAGGUGAUAAUGACUUGGCGCCCAUUACCGCGCACACCGCUACUUAGGAAUUCUAGACCCUUUCUAGGUGUCGGUUGAUGAGGAACUGAAUGUAAAUUCAGUUCGAACUAGAAUGGUAACGCGAUAAGCUCGCUUCUAAU